Molecule: long non-coding RNA, 511 nt
Organism: Patella vulgata (common limpet)
Lineage: Eukaryota; Metazoa; Mollusca; Gastropoda; Patellidae
Exons: 4
Source: RefSeq, a predicted model, not a curated record
UUGUCUUCAAGUAUUAGAAGUUAGCAGUUUGUCUUCAAGUACCUGAUUAUAAGUCUUCAAGAUGUCUCCACCAAUGUACGAUCUUCAAACUAAAGACAAUAACCAAGAUGUAAAGGUGGUUUUCCCUUCAGCAAAUGUUAUGCAACAACCAACAGUGAAGAAAAACAACAAAAACUAUUGUUUAAUUGCUGCAUCAGUGAUAAGCGCUGCUGUGGUUAUAACUCUUGGUGCUAUCGGUUCUGUGGCACUUUACCAACAUAUGAACAAACCAGAGGAAUACAAUACUGAAACGCUUUAUAAUGGACAACAUAUUCCUGAACAUGCCCGUGUGGAUUAUGUAAAUAGAAUAACUUAUGUUAAUAAUACACAGUAUGGUGAAGUGUUGGCUGGCAACAAUUUACAUGAUUAUAAUAGAAAAUUGUUAGUAUUUAAAGAUGUGGCUAAUAAAGUUUGUUAUAUUGAUAAAUUAGAGGGGACAUUUGAAGAAGGUAUAGCUUUACUUGCUCAAAAG